Molecule: long non-coding RNA, 2619 nt
Filed under: Olea europaea subsp. europaea
Lineage: Eukaryota; Viridiplantae; Streptophyta; Magnoliopsida; Lamiales; Oleaceae
Source: RNAcentral
CAAAAAGCAAGAAAUACACGAGUAUACUAGCCUCUUACCUUUGGAGGCCAUCAAUUCAAAGUCAAUGAAGUAGCGGCUUCGGUCGAUAAGGUGGUCGAAGUGCCGAAGUUUCAGAUGUCUCUUGUAAAUGUCCUCUAUCACUUCAAACUCCUCCUUGCUCAACUCGAACCUCGUACUACUAUCUACACAGCAAGCCUUAACAGUUAGAAAAAGAAAAUUUUGAAUACAGAAUGUAAACUACUUAGGCUGGGAGACUCACAAACUUCGUAGUACCCUGGGUCGGUACUGUGCAAGCCAAGGCUGUGUCCCCCUCCACUGCCUGCCACCUGCCCCUCACCCAGAACCACGAUUCCUUCCACUCCUUGAUGGAAGAAGGCAGCCCCACCACAAAUGGUGCGUGAGCCUCCCAAGGAGUUAAGUAUACUACACCCUUGACUCCUUACCUAUCACCCUAGGCUAGAAUAGGGUUAUGAAGACGUGGAGAGGUAUGUCCUCCCCAAGUGACACUUCCUUCCAUAGGAAGUAAGAGCCAACCAACUGGCUCCACCUAUUUGGCAGAACCUGGGUCGACGACAACAUAAAGUUUCCCAGCACCGCCCUAAAGAAGGGGUGCAAAGGAAGACGCAUACCUGCCUUAAACAGGCAUUCAUUCACCGCCAUACAUCCGAGCCUCAGAUAGCAGGCGCACUCAUGAGCCUUGAACACCAACAUUUCGACAUAAUGAGGUACACAGUACUUCUCCCCCUGAUCUCGCCUAGCCUCUUCAAAGUCAUAUUUGAAGGCACUCUGGACGCCCCCACUCCUCACUGUAAUAUACUGGCUCCUCGGUCAUAGCAUAUUGCUCGACCUCGGUGUCCCCUCUAUGACUCGUCCCCUCGUCGAAUAACACAAUAGUUACUAAUUCCCUACCUGAGGUGGACUCCAUAUCAGAAAAGAAUGAACUCAAUACAAGGGCUUUUCUAUGAAAAUACCUAUGGGAAAUGACUACGCCAACGGAGUAAUGUCGGAAAACGAGAAGAUUGACCGUUUGGAAGCCGAAAAACUUGAGCUUUUGAAGAAGAAAUCAAAUUACAAAGAUUGAAAAUCCAGAAAAAUGGGGGUCUCUCGCCUUUUAUAAAGGGCUAGGACGAACCCGAGUCGUCUGAUCAAUGUCCAUUGAAUGUGGACCCUUCAUUCUAAAUCAAAUCCGAGGUGUAGAAUUCAAAUGAUUUUUCAAACUUGCGCUUCGAUUCAAGCGUGUCCUCCACGCAUCUCUCCAAACGCGUCUACUUCUAGGUGCUCCAGCUGUGCUCAUAAUUACCACUUUAAUUUGACGACAGUAGAUGCCUUGGAAGUUGAACGGUCCAGUCACCUUUCCUCGAAAAUAUGCGUAAAACAUCAAAUUAUUGGCACAAUUGCCGAGAAACAAUCAUUGCCAAUGAGCCUCAGAAUUCAGCCUCCACAAGCCUCGCAGGUUCAGUUUCCCAACCACCUCGGCUUCUUCAUCACAAUUCAACCAAUCAAGCCUCGCAGGUUCGUUUCUCAACCACCUCAGCUACCUCAUCAGAAUUCAGCCUCUACAAGCCUCGCAGGUUCGGUUUCCCAACCACCUCGACUUCCUCAUCACAAUUCAGCCAUCAAGCCUCGUAGGUUCGAUUUUUCAAGCACCUCGACUUUCUCAUAAGAAUUCAGCAUCCACAAGCCUCACAGGUUUGAUUUCUCAACCACCUCAGUAUCCUCAUCAGAAUUCAGCCAAUCAAGCCUAGUAGGUUCGGUUUCUCUACCACCUCAGCUUCCUCAUUAGAAUUCAGCCUCCACAAGCCUCGUAGGUUCGGUUUCUCAAACCACCUUGGCUUCAUCAUUCUUCCACAACAGCACAUUUCAAACUCUAACCAUGAUAUAAAUAUCUAUACUUGGACUUGGGGGACUAUUAUUUGGGGUACAAAAAAAUUUCAAAAUUUUUUUUCAACUUAACUGACUGGCUUUACUCCAUCAAAGUCCUCGCAUUACAUAAAUGACUAUACUUGGAUUUGGUGGACUAUUGUUACGUGUUUGCACACUUGGGCAACACACCGGGGCCCACAACCAACUCAUGCCGAACCACGUGGCACUCAAGUCGAGGUCAUUUGCAUAGCCGAGGCCCACAAACCGAGGUCCACAGAAGCCUAGUCCCAUAUAUAUCGAGGCCUAUCUAUCAUUGCCUCUUGAGGAGCUCCCGAAGCCCAUAUGCCGAGGCCCUUUGAAGGUGGACGGGCCCUGUUGGUCGAAGCUCUGUAGCAGAGGUAGCAGACUCCGAAUCACAAAGCAGUAUCUUCCAUAGACACUUCUCCCAAGAGAUUCUCUGCACAAAGAUUUUAUUUGAAUGAUUGAUAGGACGUUUGUUAUGAGUAUAAAUGUUAAAUCUUGUCACUAGUAGAGGUGGCUCUACCAAUCAAUAAAUGUAUAGCAGGCUAGGUGCGACUGAUGCCUACAAUUUGACAUGUAAAUUAACCGGAUGAGGCCACGUGUAUCCCGAACUAAAGGUCACGAUCUAACUUGUGAUACUAUAAAUACUCUCCUAUGUACCCCAUACAAAGGCUAAUGCAAGAAUCAAUACAAGAAACCAUACUUUACUCAACUAUCUUUCUUAUUAUCUUGCAA